UUUUUUUUAAUUUAUCAAAAUUCUUCUGCAUUUAAAUUGGAUACAUUCUUUGAAGUGAUUGUUUCUGUUUGAUUGCAUUAUUAAAUCAUGGAAUUGGACUGGCCUAUGUUUGGACAAUAGUAGAAUAGGACAAAAAUUAAAAAUUAAUUAUGCACCCACCCUAAAGUGCUCAAAUAAUGCCACAGCUGCUUUCGGAUAAGUUGGCAGUGGAAGAAGUAAGGUCUCAAAUUAAUUAAUAGCUAUCUAUAU
Molecule: long non-coding RNA, 249 nt
Filed under: Citrus x clementina
Lineage: Eukaryota; Viridiplantae; Streptophyta; Magnoliopsida; Sapindales; Rutaceae
Description: Citrus clementina (C. clementina) long non-coding RNA (CCLE_LNC003119)
Source: RNAcentral